GCUGGAGCCUUCACGUACUCUGUGUUCAUGGAUGAAGGUCUCUGAUUUACUUCAAAUAGAUCACCACGGAAAGUGAUGGAAGCACUGCUGGAGGAGGAGCGCAGGCUGUGAGGAAGGGCAUCGUACCUGUCCUUUGCAAUGAAGCAAGAAGGAGACUGGACUACGGGACUGCCACUCUCAGGUCUGUACUUACCCAGGCUGACUUAAGGGACAAAUGAUGUUCAGCUGCAUUAACGCAGCAGAUGGAGCAUUAUUCCAGCCUGGACGGCAGGAGAACAGAGUUUACCUCCAGACUCAGCAGAUGUCAAUUUAUAUUAACGAGCAAUGGCAACACACAAUAUAUUUUAUUUUCCUUGUAACCUGUCUUCAUUACAAAACAUCUGCAUACUUUAUAUCCUGUUCCAGAUGUUUAAAAUUAAUGCCGUAGCAAACAGCUCACAUUUUGCCUUUCACUGAUUUUUUUUUUCUUUUUUUUGUCAGCAUAAAAAUUAACUCUGAUAAAAAUGAAAAACCUUGUGAUGGUUUUCACUGUGUUUUGGAGAAAGUCUGUAUUACACUAUCAAUUUCAGUAGCACAGUGUGCUAAAAGGAGCAAUAAGACAAGACUGCUUGUCACAUAUUUAUGAGCUUAUGAACCUUUUGCUGUCCCUUUUGUUAUCCCUUCCCUUGGCAGUGCACUGAG
Oxyura jamaicensis (ruddy duck) is the source of this 681-nucleotide long non-coding RNA. RefSeq lists it as uncharacterized. The record is from RefSeq and is a predicted model, not a curated record. The transcript has 3 exons. NCBI's taxonomy places the organism in Eukaryota, Metazoa, Chordata, Aves, Anseriformes, Anatidae.